This 312-nucleotide ribosomal RNA is filed under the name uncultured Veillonella sp. Its description in RNAcentral is "bacterial SSU rRNA". It matches the Rfam family "Bacterial small subunit ribosomal RNA", at positions 222 to 524 of the family's 1533-position model. Lineage: Bacteria; Bacillati; Bacillota; Negativicutes; Veillonellales; Veillonellaceae. The record is from RNAcentral.
AGGAGGGGAUUGCGUCUGAUUAGCUAGUUGGAGGGGGUAACGGCCCACCAAGGCGAUGAUCAGUAGCCGGUCUGAGAGGAUGAACGGCCACAUUGGGACUGAGACACGGCCCAAACUCCUACGGGAGGCAGCAGUGGGGAAUCUUCCGCAAUGGACGAAAGUCUGACGGAGCAACGCCGCGUGAGUGAUGACGGUCUUCGGAUUGUAAAGCUCUGUUAAUCGGGACGAAUGGUUUGUGUGCAAAUAGUGCAUAGACAUGACGGUACCGGAAUAGAAAGCCACGGCUAACUACGUGCCAGCAGCCGCGGUAAU